RNAcentral lists this unclassified non-coding RNA (304 nucleotides) under uncultured Verrucariaceae. Its description in RNAcentral is "sequence contains ITS1". The stretch from base 1 to 105 matches the Rfam family "5.8S ribosomal RNA", at positions 50 to 154 of the family's 154-position model. The record is from RNAcentral. Lineage: Eukaryota; Fungi; Ascomycota; Eurotiomycetes; Verrucariales.
GAAAUGCGAUAAGUAAUGCGAAUUGCAGAAUUCCGUGAGUCAUCGAAUCUUUGAACGCACAUUGCGCCCUUUGGUAUUCCGAAGGGCAUGCCUGUUCGAGCGUCAUUAUCAACCCUCAAGCCCGGCUUGUUGUUGGGUCUCACCGUUAGCGAUGACGGCGGACCCCAAAGAUAAUGGCAGAGUCCCGUGGACCCUGGAUGCAGCGAGCUCUUCAGCACGCGUCUCGGUGGUUCCCGAGCUCUGUCUUAACCAAUUCAUUUACCAGGUUGACCUCGGAUCAGGUAGGGAUACCCGCUGAACUUAA